GUGGGGAAUUUUGGACAAUGGGCGCAAGCCUGAUCCAGCCAUUCCGCGUGCAGGAUGAAGGCCUUCGGGUUGUAAACUGCUUUUGUACGGAACGAAAAGCCUCUGGUUAAUACCCGGGGGUCAUGACGGUACCGUAAGAAUAAGCACCGGCUAACUACGUGCCAGCAGCCGCGGUAAUACGUAGGGUGCGAGCGUUAAUCGGAAUUACUGGGCGUAAAGCGUGCGCAGGCGGUGAUGUAAGACAGUUGUGAAAUCCCCGGGCUCAACCUGGGAACUGCAUCUGUGACUGCAUUGCUGGAGUGCGGCAGAGGGGGAUGGAAUUCCGCGUGUAGCAGUGAAAUGCGUAGAUAUAGGAAGGAACACCAGUGGCGAAGGCGACUACCUGGACUGAUACUGACACUGAGGUGCGAAAGCGUGGGGAGCAAACAGGAUUAGAAACCCCGGUAGUCC
Molecule: ribosomal RNA, 450 nt
Filed under: uncultured bacterium
Lineage: Bacteria
Description: partial 16S ribosomal RNA
Rfam family: Bacterial small subunit ribosomal RNA
Source: RNAcentral